GCAGGCUUAACACAUGCAAGUCGAGCGGGGGAAGGUAGCUUGCUACUGGACCUAGCGGCGGACGGGUGAGUAAUGCUUAGGAAUCUGCCUAUUAGUGGGGGACAACAUCUCGAAAGGGAUGCUAAUACCGCAUACGUCCUACGGGAGAAAGCAGGGGAUCUUCGGACCUUGCGCUAAUAGAUGAGCCUAAGUCGGAUUAGCUAGUUGGUGGGGUAAAGGCCUACCAAGGCGACGAUCUGUAGCGGGUCUGAGAGGAUGAUCCGCCACACUGGGACUGAGACACGGCCCAGACUCCUACGGGAGGCAGCAGUGGGGAAUAUUGGACAAUGGGGGGAACCCUGAUCCAGCCAUGCCGCGUGUGUGAAGAAGGCCUUAUGGUUGUAAAGCACUUUAAGCGAGGAGGAGGCUACUUUAGUUAAUACCUAGAGAUAGUGGACGUUACUCGCAGAAUAAGCACCGGCUAACUCUGUGCCAGCAGCCGCGGUAAUACAGAGGGUGCGAGCGUUAAUCGGAUUUACUGGGCGUAAAGCGUGCGUAGGCGGCUUAUUAAGUCGGAUGUGAAAUCCCCGAGCUUAACUUGGGAAUUGCAUUCGAUACUGGUGAGCUAGAGUAUGGGAGAGGAUGGUAGAAUUCCAGGUGUAGCGGUGAAAUGCGUAGAGAUCUGGAGGAAUACCGAUGGCGAAGGCAGCCAUCUGGCCUAAUACUGACGCUGAGGUACGAAAGCAUGGGGAGCAAACAGGAUUAGAUACCCUGGUAGUCCAUGCCGUAAACGAUGUCUACUAGCCGUUGGGGCCUUUGAGGCUUUAGUGGCGCAGCUAACGCGAUAAGUAGACCGCCUGGGGGAGUACGGUCGCAAGACUAAAACUCAAAUGAAUUGACGGGGGCCCGCACAAGCGGUGGAGCAUGUGGUUUAAUUCGAUGCAACGCGAAGAACCUUACCUGGCCUUGACAUACUAGAAACUUUCCAGAGAUGGAUUGGUGCCUUCGGGAAUCUAGAUACAGGUGCUGCAUGGCUGUCGUCAGCUCGUGUCGUGAGAUGUUGGGUUAAGUCCCGCAACGAGCGCAACCCUUUUCCUUACUUGCCAGCAUUUCGGAUGGGAACUUUAAGGAUACUGCCAGUGACAAACUGGAGGAAGGCGGGGACGACGUCAAGUCAUCAUGGCCCUUACGGCCAGGGCUACACACGUGCUACAAUGGUCGGUACAAAGGGUUGCU
This 1215-nucleotide ribosomal RNA is filed under the name Acinetobacter baumannii. Its description in RNAcentral is "bacterial SSU rRNA". It matches the Rfam family "Bacterial small subunit ribosomal RNA", at positions 42 to 1251 of the family's 1533-position model. The record is from RNAcentral. Lineage: Bacteria; Pseudomonadati; Pseudomonadota; Gammaproteobacteria; Moraxellales; Moraxellaceae.